This 519-nucleotide ribosomal RNA is filed under the name uncultured bacterium. RNAcentral's name for it is "partial 16S ribosomal RNA". It matches the Rfam family "Bacterial small subunit ribosomal RNA", at positions 29 to 507 of the family's 1533-position model. The record is from RNAcentral.
ACGAACGCUGGCGGCGCGCCUAAUACCUGCAAGUCGAACGCACUCUCGUUUAGAUUGAAGGAGUUUGCUCCUGAUUGAUAAACAUUUGAGUGAGUGGCGGACGGGUGAGUAACACGUGGGUAACCUGCCCUAAAGUGGGGGAUAACAUUUGGAAACAGAUGCUAAUACCGCAUAAAACCUAACACCGCAUGGUGUAGGGUUGAAAGAUGGUUUCGGCUAUCACUUUAGGAUGGACCCGCGGUGCAUUAGUUAGUUGGUGAGGUAAAGGCUCACCAAGACCGUGAUGCAUAGCCGACCUGAGAGGGUAAUCGGCCACACUGGGACUGAGACACGGCCCAGACUCCUACGGGAGGCAGCAGUAGGGAAUCUUCCACAAUGGACGAAAGUCUGAUGGAGCAACGCCGCGUGAGUGAAGAAGGUUUUCGGAUCGUAAAACUCUGUUGUUGGAGAAGAAUGUAUCUGAUAGUAACUGAUCAGGUAGUGACGGUAUCCAACCAGAAAGCCACGGCUAACUACGUG